Homo sapiens (human) is the source of this 1579-nucleotide long non-coding RNA. Ensembl annotates it as long intergenic non-protein coding RNA 2395. Lineage: Eukaryota; Metazoa; Chordata; Mammalia; Primates; Hominidae. The record is from Ensembl.
AGGUACAACAGAGACAGCUGUUUGUCCCCCAGUAUCCUUCAGACAAAGCCAUAUAUGAUUGAAGGUUAUCAGUACUGUGCUUUUGGAGGAUUCAGAAGAAGUUAUAUCUGAUUGGGAGAUUGAAAAGGAUUGGCCUGAAGGAGAGGUGGUUUUUGAACUGCAUCUUAAAGGAUGAGGAAACUGAGGCUGAGAGGGUAGAGAACUUUGCCUGAGGUCACUCAGCAGGGACCCACCCAUCACAGUAAAUGCCAGCACUGCUGAUGCCAAAACAAUGUUAUUUGUAGGCCCUCGGAAUUUGUGACCUGAAGGAAGAAGAGCAGGGCCGUGGGAAGUAUGUAACCAGUGUCAUGCCCCUGGUCCCAAGGAAGCAGUGGCUUGUGAGCCCGGUGCCCCCCCGGGCCUCCUCAGUGAGCUGAGGAGGCUCAGCAGUGCCUGCACGUCCCCUCGCCACAAUGUCAUGUGCCACCUCUUCAAAGGAGGGAUGUACCAGCUAGUGGACGUGACCUUGACUGCAAAGGGCGGCACGCAGCUGAUGUAAUGGUCGCUUAAGUGUUCACAAAUGCCUGAACACCCUGUCCUACCUGGUCCUACCUGGAUGCUGGCCUCAGUAAGCUCCUGGGCUCAUUGAAGAUGAACCUAGCAGUAGUAUUUACACCACUUGUUGUGUGCCCACUGUGGGCCCGGCGCCAUGCCGAGUGCUCUAUGGAUGUGAGAUGAGAACACUGAAGCAGUUUUUUCUAAAGAUAGCUGCCUGGCACAGUGGCUCACAUCUGUAGUCCCAGCAUUUGGGGAGGCCAAGGCAGGUGGAUCACUUGAGGCCAGGAAUUCAAGACCAGCAUGGCCAACAUGUGCUGGGAGAGAAAAGCAUACGACAUAGACAGGGAGGUCAAGCUCCACCACGCAGAUGAGGUGCAGGCCACCAGUCUUCCUCUGCCACAUCUCUUUCUGAAAAGGCAGCCUGUGCUGAGAAACCAUGACUGAGUAAGCCAAGCUUUGUUGGCCGCACCUGCCAAGCCACAGGGUGCCUCAGGCUUGGAGCAUCCCGGAGCCAGUUACAACCCAAGACUUCAGCCUUCUGGAAGGUGUUGGGUCAGCCACCCUGAAGGACGAUCCUGCCCAAGUGACAUGCUUUGCUCUUCCUUCUCACCCAGGACUUCACAUUCACCCUUGCAAUCCAUGUGGGGACACUGUUGGAUAGGAGGCGUGGUCCCAGCGUGGUCUCCCUGUCUGGGCCUCUGCCUAUGCCAAAUGUUUGCCUUACGCUGCACACUCAAGAGGUUCCAUGUAUACAGAUGGGAAUUCCAGAGCUACAGAAAAGGCAGCAAGCACCAUGAUUUAAGCUAACCAGUGUGGAUUCACACCUUCCUCUCUCUCUAUCAGUGGCAGAACUACCAGCUAGAGUAAGAAGUGGUUGAUCCAGGACCUAAACAUUCUGGAAACUCUUGCCCACUUCUGGGAGAAAUGACCCAAUCCAUAGUACUAAGCACACCUUAACUUUCGUAGGACGCAGGCAAGUUGUCAUACCGUGUGCCUAAAUAUAGAAAAAUGAUCCACUGGACUAAUAAAGUGUUAAAUAAAA